This 491-nucleotide ribosomal RNA is filed under the name uncultured bacterium. Its description in RNAcentral is "bacterial SSU rRNA". It matches the Rfam family "Bacterial small subunit ribosomal RNA", at positions 28 to 514 of the family's 1533-position model. The record is from RNAcentral.
GACGAACGCUGGCGGCGUGCCUAACACAUGCAAGUCGAACGGAGUUAAGUCUUCGGAUUUAACUUAGUGGCGAACGGGUGAGUAACGCGUGAGUAACCUGCCUUACAGAGGGGGACAACAGUUGGAACGACUGCUAAUACCGCAUAAUGUCUAACCGAGGCAUCUCGGAUAGACCAAAGGAGCAAUCCGCUGUAAGAUGGACUCGCGUCCAAUUAGAUAGUUGGUGGGGUAACGGCCCACCAAGUCGACGAUUGGUAGCCGGACUGAGAGGUUGAGCGGCCACAUUGGGACUGAGACACGGCCCAGACUCCUACGGGAGGCAGCAGUGAGGAAUAUUGGUCAAUGGUCUGACGACUGAACCAGCCAUGCCGCGUGAAGGUCACGGCCCGUACUGGGUCGUUAAACUUCUUUUGUCAAGGGAGCAAUAAGGUCUACGUGUAGACUGAUGAGAGUACCUUGCGAAUAAGCAUCGGCUAACUCCGUGCCAGCAG